AGUUUGAUCCUGGCUCAGAAUGAACGCUGGCGGCGCGCCUAACACAUGCAAGUCGAGCGAGAAAGUUCCUUCGGGAAUGAGUACAGCGGCGGACGGUUGAGUAACACGUGAGAAUCUACCCUUCAGUGAAGAAUACCUUCGGGAAACCGAAGUUAAUGCUGCAUACGUCCCUUCGGGGAGAAAAAUGGCCUCUUUGCUGUUGCUGAAGGAUGAGCUUGCGGGCUAUCAGCUUGUUGGUGAGGUAAAAGCUUACCAAGGCUAUGACGGCUAGCCGGCCUGAGAGGGUGAUCGGCCAGACUGGAACUUAGACACGGUCCAGACUCCUACGGGAGGCAGCAGUGAGGAAUAUUGCGCAAUGGGCGAAAGCCUGACGCAGCGACGCCGCGUGGAGGAUGAAGGUUUUAGGAUUGUAAACUCCUGUUAAGUGAGAAGAAAUACCUAGUUAUAAUACAGCUAGGGGAUGACGGUAUCAUUAGAGAAAGCACCGGCUAACUUCGUGCCAGCAGCCGCGGUAAGACGAGGGGUGCGAGCGUUAUUCGGAAUUAUUGGGCGUAAAGGGUGUGUAGGCGGUAUAUUAAGUCAACUGUUAAAUUUUCUGGCCUAACCGGAAACAUGCGGUAGAAACUGAUAUGCUGGAGGAUGGUAGAGAGAAGUGGAAUUCUCGGAGUAGCGGUAAAAUGCGUAGAUCUCGAGAGGAACACCAAUGGCGAAGGCAGCUUCUUGGACCAUUUCCGACGCUGAGACACGAAAGCGUGGGGAGCAAACAGGAUUAGAUACCCUGGUAGUCCACGCUGUAAACGAUGAUCACUGGAUGUCAGUUUUGCUUGCAAAAUUGGUAUCGAAGCUAACGCGUUAAGUGAUCCGCCUGGGGAGUACGGUCGCAAGACUAAAACUCAAAGGAAUUGACGGGGGUCCGCACAAGCGGUGGAACAUGUGGUUUAAUUCGACAAUACGCGAGGAACCUUACCUGGGUUUGACAUGUACUUGACCGCUGUAGAAAUAUGGUUUUCCAAGAUUUAUCUUGGACGGGUACACAGGUGCUGCAUGGCUGUCGUCAGCUCGUGUCGUGAGAUGUUGGGUUAAGUCCUCUAACGAGCGCAACUCUUACUGUCAGUUGCUAUCCUUCGGGAGCACUCUGACGGGACUGCCUGGGAAACCAGGAGGAAGGUGGGAACGACGUCAAGUCAUCAUGGUCCUUAUGCCCAGGGCUACACACGUGUUACAAUGGUCGGUACAACGGGCUGCAAGCUGGUAACAGUGAGCUAAUCCCUUUAAAGCCGAUCUAAGUUCGGAUUGAGGUCUGCAACUCGACCUCAUGAAGUUGAAAUCGCUAGUAAUCGCGCAUCAGCAACGGCGCGGUGAAUACGUUCUCGGGCCUUGUACACACCGCCCGUCACGCCAUGAAAGCUGUCUGUGCCCGAAAUUACCUUAGCUAACUCGUAAGAGAGGCGGGUGCCUAAGGCAUGGGGAGUGAUUGGGGCGAAGUCGUAACAAGGUAACC
This 1501-nucleotide ribosomal RNA is filed under the name uncultured bacterium. RNAcentral describes it as "bacterial SSU rRNA". It matches the Rfam family "Bacterial small subunit ribosomal RNA". The record is from RNAcentral.